CGGAGAUGUCAGCAAUGACACUAGUAGAGUGCAAUCUCUGCAUUGCUAAGUGGCUGUCACAUUCUUUUAAAGGUAUCCAUCAACUGAGCCACAACUCAAGCUUGGGGAUUCAUACCAGCAGCCUAUCGGUUACUGGUCCAUUUGUAAGCUGUCUAACGCCUCGCUAACAAAUGGAAGAGGAGAGAAGGAGAGGUUAAGUAAAGAGGACAAGCUGAAACACAGAAAAAAGAGAAGUGGCAGAGACAUGGAUAAAGGAGGGCAUUUGGGAUUAAAGUCUCUAUGUCAUCAACACAGAGAAAAAGAUGAUAGCCCUGGAGGAGAAAAGGAGAAAUUUGAGGACAAAGUGAGAACGAUUGAGGAGGCAGCUAAAUGAUGAAAUGAAAAAGAUUAACUUAUUAAGUGUGAGACAGAGCAACUCACAAGAGCCCCUCCCUCAGAGAAAUGACCAGAAAACCACAUCACAAAACAACACC
Esox lucius (northern pike) is the source of this 473-nucleotide long non-coding RNA. The record is from Ensembl. Lineage: Eukaryota; Metazoa; Chordata; Actinopteri; Esociformes; Esocidae.